GAUGAACGCUGGCGGCGUGCUUAACACAUGCAAGUCGAACGAUGAAGCUCAGCUUGCUGGGUGGAUUAGUGGCGAACGGGUGAGUAACACGUGAGUAACCUGCCCUUAACUCUGGGAUAAGCCUGGGAAACUAGGUCUAAUACCGGAUAGGAGCGCCUACCGCAUGGUGUGUGUUGGAAAUAUUUAUCGGUUUUGGAUGGACUCGCGGCCUAUCAGCUUGUUGGUGAGGUCAUGGCUCACCAAGGCGACGACGGGUAGCCGGCCUGAGAGGGUGACCGGCCACACUGGGACUGAGACACGGCCCAGACUCCUACGGGAGGCAGCAGUGGGGAAUAUUGAACAAUGGGCGAAAGCCUGAUGCAGCGACGACGCGUGAGGGAUGACGGCCUUAGGGUUGUAAACCUCUUUCAGUAGGGAAGAAGCGAAAGUGACGGUACCUGCAGAAGAAGCACCGGCUAAAUACGUG
RNAcentral lists this ribosomal RNA (466 nucleotides) under uncultured bacterium. RNAcentral's name for it is "partial 16S ribosomal RNA". It matches the Rfam family "Bacterial small subunit ribosomal RNA", at positions 28 to 507 of the family's 1533-position model. The record is from RNAcentral.